This 72-nucleotide transfer RNA is filed under the name Tupanvirus deep ocean. RNAcentral describes it as "tRNA-Ala". It matches the Rfam family "tRNA". From Rfam's summary of the family: Transfer RNA (tRNA) molecules are approximately 80 nucleotides in length. Their secondary structure includes four short double-helical elements and three loops (D, anti-codon, and T loops). RNAcentral also lists the same sequence under 1 other name. Lineage: Varidnaviria; Bamfordvirae; Nucleocytoviricota; Megaviricetes; Imitervirales; Mimiviridae. The record is from RNAcentral.
GGGCCAAUGGUGUUAGUGGUAGCACGCCUCAUUUGCAAUGAGGAAGUUAGGGUUCGAUUCCCUAUUGGUCCA